This is a non-coding RNA of Aegilops tauschii subsp. strangulata, 846 nucleotides long. The record is from RefSeq and is a predicted model, not a curated record. NCBI's taxonomy places the organism in Eukaryota, Viridiplantae, Streptophyta, Magnoliopsida, Poales, Poaceae.
UGGUUUCAGCCACCAGCCAACCAGCGCCAUCCUCCCUCCGCUCGUCGUCCAGUCCGAUCUAGCAGCGGCACCAGGUCGUGCCCCUGCUCUCCUCCUUCUCUCUCUUCUCUCUCUGAUUCUAUCUCUCACCCCGACCUCCCUGUUCUUCUAUAAGAGCCCGCGGAUCCCGCUCGAACGUCCGGGAGCGCCUGCAGCUCGCGUCUCCACCCAUCGUCGCCGCCUCUUCGGCCAUCCCCACCACCGCCGGCGAGCAUCAUCACGCCCCAGGGACAUGGCGCCGCUCGUUCUUCUGCAAGCCGGAGCAAGGACCCGUAGGAACCCCGCCGUUCGGAUCCGCAACCCCGUGCCUCCUCCUCGCACAUGCCCGGCCGCGCCACCGGAGCCCGCAGAGGAAGUGCUCCGUCGCCCGCUGCAUGUAGCCGCGCUGCUCCCCUUCCCCGUCGCCUUCUUCACUGGACCGAGCAGCUGCCGGUCACCUUCGCCUUGAGCUGCCGGAGAACGCGCCCGCCGCUGCAAGUCCCAGCACGCGCCCGCGAAGACUCUGCUUCCAGUGCCGCCGUCUUGUUCGUUCUCUGCCGCGUCAAGCUCGAUCCGGUCCCCGUUGACCGCGAGCGUCGGCUGGGUCACAGCCGCGCAGGCCCAGCUCCCUUCGCCCGCGAGGCCCAGCUCCGCAUGCCCUUGCAGGCCCAAUGUGAGCAGCCCGGCUCCGUCAGAUUCGGCCCGAUGCAAUUUUUUCCCUCUGGACGAUUUUAGUUAUUAAUCCAGAGAAUGUCGGUUUUACAGAAAAACCCUCAACAUUCAUGCAUUUAAUAACUCAUGAACCGUGCAUCAUAUUAAAAUAUUUUA